RNAcentral lists this ribosomal RNA (381 nucleotides) under Cytauxzoon sp. 1 cat/Italy/2010. Its description in RNAcentral is "bacterial SSU rRNA". It matches the Rfam family "Eukaryotic small subunit ribosomal RNA", at positions 477 to 891 of the family's 1831-position model. Lineage: Eukaryota; Apicomplexa; Aconoidasida; Piroplasmida; Theileriidae. The record is from RNAcentral.
AAUACAUACGAGUCUUAAGUCUUGUAAUUGGAAUGACGGGAAUCUAAAACCUUUCCGGAGUAUCAAUUGGAGGGCAAGUCUGGUGCCAGCAGCCGCGGUAAUUCCAGCUCCAAUAGCGUAUAUUAAAAUUGUUGCAGUUAAAAAGCUCGUAGUUGAAUUUCUGCUGCAUCCGUGUCAUUCCUAACUGGUUUGUCACUGUUGUGGCUUUUUCUGGUGGUUGUGCUUCGGCUAGAUCUCCAGAUUGUUACUUUGAGAAAAUUAGAGUGCUUCAAGCAGGCUUUUGCCUUGAAUACUUUAGCAUGGAAUAACUAAGUAGGACUUUGGUUCUAUUUUGUUGGUUUAAGAGCCAAAGUAAUGAUUAAUAGGAACAGUUGGGGGCAU